Molecule: long non-coding RNA, 497 nt
Filed under: Calidris pugnax (ruff)
Lineage: Eukaryota; Metazoa; Chordata; Aves; Charadriiformes; Scolopacidae
Description: lncRNA (ENSCPUG00000003511.1)
Source: RNAcentral
GGAUUCCAUAGGCUGAAAUUUACCUAUGGCAAAUGUUUCACAGUACAGUAAAUUAUGCAGCAGGUUCCACACAAACAUCCUUUACUCUCUGAAAUGAAGGUGGGCACUCAGUAGCAAAAGUACAUUGAUGUAGCUAUCGAUAGUAAUGCCUCUAUUUCUAUUUUAUAGGUACUUAGCGCUUCUGAAAUGCAAGCUCAAGGCAGGUGGUGUUGAACAUCUAAGUUUGGAGAAGUCUUUCUGGAGACCUGAUGGAAAUUAUUUGCUCGAUAUUAGUCAUAAGGUUCCCAGGAGAGGAGGUGGCGUGAACCCCUGGCAAGGUGACAGCAGCAGAGGGAACCACUGGGCAAGUCCUCCCUCCCAGUGCUGAGUAUGCCUCUCACUGGGCAGGACACCGAGGAGCCACCAUCUGCAGGUGAGUUCCUUCCUCCGACGCUUCUUCCCACCCCCUCCCCACCAGCCAAGCUAUGCUGGAGGCAUGAGGGUCUGUGAUGGUUGUA